Oreochromis aureus is the source of this 712-nucleotide long non-coding RNA. The record is from Ensembl. Lineage: Eukaryota; Metazoa; Chordata; Actinopteri; Cichliformes; Cichlidae.
GGAUGAAAGGGGCAAAGAACCCCGAACUAAGUUUUUAUAAGAGGCUGAAAGGAAAAACUGAGCGGAUACAGCCUUUGAGACAUCUGCAAGAAAAAUGGAAAAAAAUCUGUGGAGGAGAGGAAGUCACUGAACAAACUGUUAUUCAUCACCGAUAAUCCCGACCACCCUCUGCACCUCUUCCUGGACAGGCAGCACAACACUUUCUCUGACAGACUGAUUCAGGAAAUCUUUCAUACCACAAUCUAACAACCGCUAUGAUACAACACUCUAUCAUUCUGCCAGGGGAUCAUCUACCAGAUGUUAUGAAUACCUAUAUGUAUUAAACUUUUUACCAAAUAUGAGAUAAAUAAAGAAUUACGGGAGUCUUAGCUCUUGGAUGUCCACUCUAGUGAUGAGUGUUAGUUUCAUUUGAUCUUGUGUUUUGGUUCUUGCCUAUUAUUACUGGUAUUUCUAUUAGUUUUGCUAUUGUUUAUGCUUUGUGUUACCUAGUUAAAGGUUAGUAUUCAUAUCUGUUUUUAUGUCUUUUGGUUCUUUCCUGUUUUACUGUUUUAGUUUCCCGUUCUGUGUUACUUCCUAUGUGCCCUGCCUUGAUUCGCCGAUUAUUUCCACCAGUUGUUGGAUCCGUUCACCCAUGCCUCAUUUCCCUGCUGUAAAAUUAUCCCUUUUGUGUGUUUAGCCCUUUCUCACCUUUGCCCUUUGUUGUGUUGUCCAC